This 222-nucleotide ribosomal RNA is filed under the name Triticum aestivum (bread wheat). RNAcentral's name for it is "partial small subunit ribosomal RNA". Lineage: Eukaryota; Viridiplantae; Streptophyta; Magnoliopsida; Poales; Poaceae. The record is from RNAcentral.
AUGGCUGCGGUUGAUUUUGACCUUAAGUUUACCUAUGUGCUAGCUGGUUGGGAAGGGUCAGCCCAUGAUGCACUCAUUUUGGCCGAUGCGUUGGAAAGGAAUGAUGGAUUUGUUGUCCCUGCAGGAAAAUUCUACCUCGUGGAUGCGAGCUAUGACGUGCGGCCAGGGUUUCUUCCACCAUAUAGGGCUACUCGUUAUCAUCUUACUGAGUUUGGCGCAUGA